RNAcentral lists this ribosomal RNA (254 nucleotides) under uncultured bacterium. RNAcentral describes it as "partial 16S ribosomal RNA". It matches the Rfam family "Bacterial small subunit ribosomal RNA", at positions 524 to 776 of the family's 1533-position model. The record is from RNAcentral.
UACGGGGGGAGCAAGCGUUGUUCGGAUUUACUGGGCGUAAAGGGCGCGUAGGCGGCCAGCACAAGUCAGUUGUGAAAUCUCCGGGCUUAACUCGGAAAGGUCAACUGAUACUGUGCGGCUAGAGUGCAGAAGGGGCAACUGGAAUCCUCGGUGUAGCGGUGAAAUGCGUAGAUAUCGAGAGGAACACCUGCGGCGAAGGCGGGUUGCUGGGCUGACACUGACGCUGAUGCGCGAAAGCCAGGGGAGCGAACGGG